Heterocephalus glaber (naked mole-rat) is the source of this 342-nucleotide long non-coding RNA. Lineage: Eukaryota; Metazoa; Chordata; Mammalia; Rodentia; Bathyergidae. The record is from Ensembl.
CAGGAUGGACGUGUAUAGUGCCCCCUUGUGACCAUUUCAGCCUCAAGUCUUCCCUGAAGAGAUAGGUAACCCAAGGAGUAUAGCCGUCAGAAUCCAAACUCUUUCUGGCUCCCUGACAGCAGCCUCACAAAAACAGGACACACGGCUAGCAGCCUGUGAGGAUCAAGUGAAGCGCAUGGGGACACUCCUGUGAGGACCAGUGCUCUGGGGCAGAGUCCCUGUCUGCUCCCCGGGCACAUCCCUUGUGAUGCUCUUCCAAGGGUCCACUGGAAGACCGGAAGACCAAGGUUUGAUUUGUGCUGCCAUCCUGGUAGAAUUGAGGUAGGAUGGAAGAAAUAAAAG